GAUAAAUGAUGGUUUCUAAAACUUUAGGGCCUAACACGACAGAGGUUGGGCCUUUCUCCAGUCCGUUGUUGUACACAAAUUCAGUAUCCAUAUGUGAUUCCACUUGUUGACUAUACUGUCAAUUUGCAAACAAAAAUAAUGAUUACUACCUACAGUUUAAUAUAUUAGCAAUAUAACAGUAGUAAUACAUAUACACUCAAUUACCUUGGAAAUUCAUGUUUUUGAACUUUUGAUCACUAGGUGUCAUAUGGAUAAGUUUUUAGAUUAAAGAGAAACUUAUUUGUUGUGCAUGAAACUAUUGCUGAUGGGGAUGCCACUCAGGUUGAGCACAUGGGACUGCCACGUAAGACUGCUAGAAAGGUCACUCCUCCUAAAAGACUUGGGGAUUACGUUUGGAAAGGGGGGAAAUCAUGUGAGGAAGGGUAAAAUUGGCAAGCAGUAGGCAUAAAGCAUCAUGAGUGGAGCAGUGCAGUGCAGACUACUUUGUUGUUAUCACUGGGCACUCUUUCUCUCUCAAUUUCUUCUUGUUCCUCACCUCCUUCUUCUUCUAUUAUUAGAUAUACUACUUCUGCAAUUUCCCUUUGUAUUUUCUUAUUUUAGAGACUUCACUACAUCUACUACUUAUAAGUUGAGUUCAAGGCUAUUAAUACAAGUGUGGUUAGUGUUUCACUGUGUCCAUUCAUUACAUUGGUGCUUUCAUCCAGAGGUCUUCAGUGGAUGACCAAAGACUCAAGUCACUUGUUGAAGAAUCAGUUCAGGGUAUGAAAGAGUCGAUUCUUGCAGAUAUUUGCUCCUUGUUACUGGAAGUGCUAGGAAGCAAAACCCAACGCCCAGAGAGGGACUCACAUGAUGACUAUUUUUUGACAGCCCCUAACCUCCGUCACAAGCCAACAUCAGUGGAAUUUGGCCAUUUAUGUGGAAAGAAUCCGGAGGCUUGGAUCUUUCAGGCAGAACAAUAUUUUGAAUUUUACAAGAUUGCAGAAGACCAGCAUCUGUCACUUGCUUCUUUUUAUCUGGACGGGGAUGCAUUGGAGUGGUAUCAGUGGCUUUUUCGAAAUAAACAAAUGGUGUAUUGGGAGCACUUGGCUUCGAAGGUGCG
RNAcentral lists this long non-coding RNA (1099 nucleotides) under Solanum tuberosum (potato). RNAcentral's name for it is "long non-coding RNA (STUB_LNC003470)". Lineage: Eukaryota; Viridiplantae; Streptophyta; Magnoliopsida; Solanales; Solanaceae. The record is from RNAcentral.